Molecule: transfer RNA, 73 nt
Filed under: Actinomadura pelletieri DSM 43383
Lineage: Bacteria; Bacillati; Actinomycetota; Actinomycetes; Streptosporangiales; Thermomonosporaceae
Description: tRNA-Met
Rfam family: tRNA
About the family: Transfer RNA (tRNA) molecules are approximately 80 nucleotides in length.
Source: RNAcentral
ACCGGGUGAGGACGCUGGUGUGUCCGGCGGUUUCAUAAGCCGCGGUAGGCAGGUUCGAUUCCUGCACCCGGUA